CGGACGGGUGAGUAAUGUCUGGGAAACUGCCCGAUGGAGGGGGAUAACUACUGGAAACGGUAGCUAAUACCGCAUAACGUCGCAAGACCAAAGAGGGGGACCUUCGGGCCUCUUGCCAUCGGAUGUGCCCAGAUGGGAUUAGCUAGUAGGUGGGGUAACGGCUCACCUAGGCGACGAUCCCUAGCUGGCCUGAGAGGAUGAUCAGCCACACUGGGACUGAGACACGGCCCAG
RNAcentral lists this ribosomal RNA (232 nucleotides) under uncultured bacterium. RNAcentral describes it as "partial 16S ribosomal RNA". It matches the Rfam family "Bacterial small subunit ribosomal RNA", at positions 99 to 334 of the family's 1533-position model. The record is from RNAcentral.